UAGGGAAUCUUCGGCAAUGGACGGAAGUCUGACCGAGCAACGCCGCGUGAGUGAAGAAGGUUUUCGGAUCGUAAAGCUCUGUUGUAAGAGAAGAACGAGUGUGAGAGUGGAAAGUUCACACUGUGACGGUAUCUUACCAGAAAGGGACGGCUAACUACGUGCCAGCAGCCGCGGUAAUACGUAGGUCCCGAGCGUUGUCCGGAUUUAUUGGGCGUAAAGCGAGCGCAGGCGGUUAGAUAAGUCUGAAGUUAAAGGCUGUGGCUUAACCAUAGUAGGCUUUGGAAACUGUUUAACUUGAGUGCAAGAGGGGAGAGUGGAAUUCCAUGUGUAGCGGUGAAAUGCGUAGAUAUAUGGAGGAACACCGGUGGCGAAAGCGGCUCUCUGGCUUGUAACUGACGCUGAGGCUCGAAAGCGUGGGGAGCAAACAGGAUUAGAUACCCUGGUAGUCCACGCUGUAAACGAUGAGUGCUAGGUGUUAGACCCUUUCCGGGGUUUAGUGCCGUAGCUAACGCAUUGAGCACUCCGCCUGGGGAGUACGACCGCAAGGUUG
RNAcentral lists this ribosomal RNA (550 nucleotides) under uncultured bacterium. Its description in RNAcentral is "bacterial SSU rRNA". It matches the Rfam family "Bacterial small subunit ribosomal RNA", at positions 355 to 896 of the family's 1533-position model. The record is from RNAcentral.